UAGGGCUGUAAACGAGCCGAGCCGAGCCGAGUAGUGAGAAGCUCGAGCUCGAGCUCGACUCACAACUCGGGGCUCGAUACUCGGCUCGAGCUCGAUCGAGUUUUAUUUUUCAAGCUCGAGCUCGAUUCGUGAUCGAAUUCGAGCUACUCGAGCUCGCUCGAUUAAGCUCGAUUAAUAUGUAAAAAUAAGCUCGAUUUGUAUACUCGACAAGAGUUCGAUUAUUCAUGCUCGAACUCGAACUCGAACUCGGAUUCGAAAUAUUUUUUUAAUUAAAAAAAAUAAAAAUAUAUUUAAAUAUAAAAGCUCGAUUAGGCUCGCGAGCUACUCGAAUCAGAUAUAAGAAUACUCGAAUUCGGCUCGAUCGAUAAGUCGAGCUACUCGAGCUCGAGCUCGACUCGACAAUAAUCGAACCGAAUUCGAGUUUUUUUCGAAUCGAACCCGAGUA
Molecule: long non-coding RNA, 445 nt
Filed under: Durio zibethinus
Lineage: Eukaryota; Viridiplantae; Streptophyta; Magnoliopsida; Malvales; Malvaceae
Description: long non-coding RNA (DZIB_LNC002064)
Source: RNAcentral